This 1017-nucleotide ribosomal RNA is filed under the name Bacillus sp. (in: firmicutes). RNAcentral's name for it is "bacterial SSU rRNA". It matches the Rfam family "Bacterial small subunit ribosomal RNA", at positions 37 to 1041 of the family's 1533-position model. Lineage: Bacteria; Bacillati; Bacillota; Bacilli; Caryophanales; Bacillaceae. The record is from RNAcentral.
UGGGGGGGGUGCUAUACUGCAGUCGAGCGAAUCGACGGGAGCUUGCUCCCUGAGAUUAGCGGCGGACGGGUGAGUAACACGUGGGCAACCUGCCUAUAAGACUGGGAUAACUUCGGGAAACCGGAGCUACUACCGGAUACGUUCUUUUCUCGCAUGAGAGAAGAUGGAAAGACGGUUUACGCUGUCACUUAUAGAUGGGCCCGCGGCGCAUUAGCUAGUUGGUGAGGUAAUGGCUCACCAAGGCGACGAUGCGUAGCCGACCUGAGAGGGUGAUCGGCCACACUGGGACUGAAACACGGCCCAGACUCCUACGGGAGGCAGCAGUAGGGAAUCUUCCGCAAUGGACGAAAGUCUGACGGAGCAACGCCGCGUGAACGAAGAAGGCCUUCGGGUCGUAAAGUUCUGUUGUUAGGGAAGAACAAGUACCAGAGUAACUGCUGGUACCUUGACGGUACCUAACCAGAAAGCCACGGCUAACUACGUGCCAGCAGCCGCGGUAAUACGUAGGUGGCAAGCGUUGUCCGGAAUUAUUGGGCGUAAAGCGCGCGCAGGUGGUUCCUUAAGUCUGAUGUGAAAGCCCACGGCUCAACCGUGGAGGGUCAUUGGAAACUGGGGAACUUGAGUGCAGAAGAGGAAAGUGGAAUUCCAAGUGUAGCGGUGAAAUGCGUAGAGAUUUGGAGGAACACCAGUGGCGAAGGCGACUUUCUGGUCUGUAACUGACACUGAGGCGCGAAAGCGUGGGGAGCAAACAGGAUUAGAUACCCUGGUAGUCCACGCCGUAAACGAUGAGUGCUAAGUGUUAGAGGGUUUCCGCCCUUUAGUGCUGCAGCUAACGCAUUAAGCACUCCGCCUGGGGAGUACGGCCGCAAGGCUGAAACUCAAAGGAAUUGACGGGGGCCCGCACAAGCGGUGGAACAUGUGGUUUAUUUCAAAGCAACGCGAAGAACCUUACCAGGUCUUGACAUCCUCUGACAACCUAAAGAUAGGCUUUCCCCUUCGGGGGACGAGUGACGGUGU